RNA transcript from Amborella trichopoda, 2049 nucleotides. RefSeq lists it as uncharacterized. NCBI's taxonomy places the organism in Eukaryota, Viridiplantae, Streptophyta, Magnoliopsida, Amborellales, Amborellaceae. The record is from RefSeq and is a predicted model, not a curated record.
GUGUAUAACACGGUAAUGGCGGAUAAAACUUAGAUUCGUUUCUUCCCAUACACGAACGAGUGGUCUGGUUUUCGAAGCCAUGGCGUCCACGACUCUCGUGGCUUGGCUGCUUCUUUUCGUAAGCGUCUUCGCUGUCCGCACAGUUGCAGAUGCAGGGGCCGAAGACCAGUUUUCCGCCAUUGAAGCUUCUCUGAGGAACGAAUUGAAGCAAUUGCAGUCUAAAGUUUCGAUCCUAGAAUCUAAUAUUAAGGAGAAGAUUCGAGAAUUGGAAAGAAAAGAUGAGCGCAUUGCUCAGAUGGAGAAGCUUGUUCAAGAGAAGUCAGAGGGCAUUUCAUCCCUGCAAAAUGAGAUUGAUUCUCUUCAGAAAAGGGGGACUGUGGAUGCAGAGGAACAGGUUGCAAAGGCUCAUGCACGCAUUAAGGAAUUGGAGCUACAGGUGAAUACGCAUAAGAAAGAAAUUGAAAUGCAGAGUAAAAUACGCAAUGCUCUAGAUAUGCGAGCAAAUGAGUCUGAGAACCGAAUGAAGGAAUUGAAUUCAAGUCUGGAAAAACUACAAGAAAUUACUCAAGAGCAAAAAGCCCGAGUUCGUAAAGCAGAACAAGCACUUAAAGCGGCAGAGGAAAACCUGUUGAAGGCUCGACUGGAAGCAAAAUCUAAGGCCAAAAAGUUGACGGAGGUCCAUGGUGCCUGGCUACCACCUUGGCUUGCUGUCCAUUUUGUUAAAGUUCAGUCCUUUGCAGUGUCAAACUGGCAUGAGCAUGUGAAACCUAUAUUGGACAUUGCUGUUGGGAAGGCUUCAGAAACAUCUGCAAAAGCCCAGGCGUUGAUAAAGCCGCACGUGGAAAGAAUUAACUCGAAAUUGGUGCCUUAUUUGAACGAGCAAUGGCUGGCAUUUACAACAUUUGCUGGACCCUAUGUGCAAUUAGCUACUACGAAGACUAUUAAGCUAUAUGAGGAAUCAAAGAGUACCAUUAGACCACAUAUUCUAAAGGCACAAGAAAUGGCAGAUCCCUACUUGCAGGAAGCUAAGAAGUUCUCUAAGCCAUAUAUUGAUCAGGUUGCUGUUGUUACAAAGCCUCAUGUCGAGAAAUUACAGGUUGCUAUGAAACCUUAUACUAAAAAAGCAGUUCAUGCUUAUGGGAAAUUCCUUAAGACUGCAACCGUGUACCAUCAUCAGGCCCAAUCUAACAUCGAAAAGAUGUUGAAGCAACACGAGUUAACAAAAGCAUUGGCAACGAAAGAACUAGUGUGGUUUUUGGCUUCUGCUUUAUUGGCACUACCCGUUUUUGCUCUAUAUAGCUUGUUUUCAUCAAUUUUUGGUAAGAAGGUGAGGAAACCCACUAGAAGUGGAAAUCAUGCCCAUCGAAGGCUGAAACGCAGGCAUGCUGACAAGUAGAGAAUUUCUGGGGUUUGUGGUUUUAGUGCAUUCAGAUCAUUUACUUGGUUUGGUUGCUAUACUGCAUGUCAUAAUUAAUAGGAGGAUUGUCACAUCUUGAAAAUAUCAAUCGGGAGGAAAUCUUAUGUGGACCUUUUGUUCUCUGAACUAACAAAAUCAUAAUGCGCCUGGGACAGCCUGCCUUAUUUUUAUUUCACCAAAACAUGUACAUCAACCAAGUAUCACCCUUUGGUGGACAUUGAUUAGGUCUUGUGCCGUUGUGUUUAGGAGUUGUGACCAUUACAGAAAAGGAAGUGAAGAGUCAGAUGUGGGUUUGAAGCUUUAUGUGCAUUGCAGGAGGCCCAUGUAUACAGUCAUUUAAUUUAUGAUUGUAGAUUUUAGAUGGCUUUUUCCUGGUCUUUUGUGAUUAUUCAGGUCAAGCUUUUUCCGACUGUUUUCCUCUACUUUCCCUUAAUUGAAUUCGUCUUAAUGAUAGUUUUUCUUGCCUUAUGGAGUUCUUCUCUGUUCAAGAAUGAACUCUUGUGCUUUGUAAUACAUUCUGAUGUAGUGUUGUACUUUGGUCUCUGUGAGCUAUUCAGUCCUUGUUUUCAUGUCUUCUUUACCUGAAACAUUAUGCACAUUUUGUUAUUAUAGAUUUUGACAGUUUAAUUUCA